GGGCAAUGUGAUUUGUCACUUAAAGAGGACGGCAGAUCAAGAGCAUCUCAUCCUCCGGCUGCUGAGUCAUCCUGCUCUGGCAGUUAUUUAAACAGAAGGCUCCAGGAGACAUACAAUCAACACUCCACUCAGACAAUGCCCAGACCUCCAGAAACCAUGUGUCAAGCUCGGAUUGCCUUAGACAGGUGCAAUUUAAGAACAGCUUUCAUCCUCUUUUCUCUCAUAUUGUCACACUAUGUGUUCUGACUUCUGGCUCCUUUCCUCACAAGAAGCUCACCCAGCUGGAACUCUUAUGGGACCUUGGCACCAGAGACCACAAAUUCCUCUUUGAAGUUUUCUAACAGCAACAAUGGUAUUUCUGACUUGGCUUUCUUGUAUUUCUCUCACGUUAACAAAAUUGGUUCAGCAUCUACCAUGGGCUACAUGCUGAGCUACAGAGUUUCGCUCUGUCGCCCAGGCUGGAGUGCAGUGGCGCGCGAUCUCGGUUCACUGCAAGCUCCACCUCCCGGGUUCACGCCAUUCUCCUGCCUCAGCCUCCUGAGUAGCUGGGACUACAGGCGCCCGCCACCACACCCAGGAAAAACGGAGCCCGAGCAGCUAAGGAUCUUGCCCACGGUCACUGAAUUAGCAAUGCUUGUGAUGAACAUUCCCAAAGCUUUUAUGAGCUCUACGAUCUGGAAUAGGUCUCUUUGUGAUCUGUUCUCCUACUUGCUAAAUAUAUGAAAUAUUAAACUUCAUAAUCACAAAGUUUCUGUAUCCAUCUAAAAAUGCCAAAGAUUGCAUUGCUAUUUAUUGAGCGCCAAUGUUCAGAGAAUGUUGCUACCUAUUGUGGAUGCUAUAACAUGCAUGUAAGAAUUUGUCUCUUGUCUCAAGAGUGCUUACAGUUUAGUUGGAGAGACAUUUAUAUAGACACUUAUGAGACAUGUAAACCACUGACAUAGCCACUUGACAUGGCUGAAGUUCAAAUGUCAAAAGGAUAAGACAUGAACAGCAAUGUAUGCCACAAGGUCCUGCAGAGGGUGAGAUCCAUUUGGCUUGAGGUGUUAGUGAUCAGUCUUCAAAGAGAAAAUAGGAGUUUUAUCUGUGCAUUAAGGCUGAGUUGGAUUUGAAUACAGAGACAGGAGAAGGGAAGUCAUCAUGUGCCUUGAACUAGUGCAAAAGUACAGAGGUAAAGAUAGUCACCGUUAAGCGUCCCACGAUUUAGUACUGAAAAUUGCAGAGAUUACUGAAUGAAUUUAUUAAAGGAAAUAAUUCUGAGUCUGUCAAUACAGUCAUGCAUUGCUUAAUGAUGGAGAUACAUUCUGAGAAACAAAUCCAUAGGUGAUUUCAUCAUUGUGUGAACACCACAGAGUACACAGACCUAGAUGGUAUAGCCUACUAUACACCUAGGCUAUAUAGUAUAGCUGUGAAAGGAAAAUAAAAUCUUGGAAUACUAAACUCACUAUGCCAAAGGGAGAAGUUAAGCUUGGGAAAGAAGUCAUGCAAAAACUGCCUUCCUUUUGCUCCUAAACAGCUGCAGCACAGAGGGCCACAUAGCUCCCCACGUGGCCUCCCUCACAAACUGCUCACAAUGAAAUUCUUUGUGGGCCCAAGUCUUUAUCCUAAAACAGAGUUCUGUGGAAUCACAUCCUGAUAACGUAAAUUAACAGUUUACCUUCACAGGUACUGGACAAAUACAAGAUUAGAAAUCAUCCCUCUGCCCACCCUGAGAAAUAUUCAUGUUUGACUUCUGAUAUGGUCUGUGUCCCCACCCAAAUUUCAUCAUGAAUUCCUACCUGUUCUGGGAAGGGCCCUGUAGGAGGUAAUUGAAUCCUGAGGGCGGGUCUUUCCCAUGCUGUUCUCGUGAUAGUGAAUAAGUCUCAUGAGAUCUGACAGUUUUAGAAGAGGGAAUUUCCCUGCAAAAGCUCCUUUUUAUGCCUGCUGCCAUCCAUGUAAGACAUGACUUGCUCCUCCUUUCCUUCCGCUAUGAUUGUGAGGCUUCUCCAGCCAUUGUGGAACUGUAAGUCCAUUAAACUCUUUUUCCU
Molecule: long non-coding RNA, 2024 nt
Organism: Homo sapiens (human)
Lineage: Eukaryota; Metazoa; Chordata; Mammalia; Primates; Hominidae
Gene: LUCAT1
Product: lung cancer associated transcript 1
Source: Ensembl